RNAcentral lists this ribosomal RNA (402 nucleotides) under uncultured bacterium. RNAcentral describes it as "bacterial SSU rRNA". It matches the Rfam family "Bacterial small subunit ribosomal RNA", at positions 355 to 755 of the family's 1533-position model. The record is from RNAcentral.
UGAGGAAUAUUGGUCAAUGGACGAAAGUCUGAACCAGCCAUGCCGCGUGCAGGAUGAAUGCCCUAUGGGUUGUAAACUGCUUUUAUAUAGGAAUAAACCCCUUUACGUGUAAAGGGCUGAAGGUACUAUAAGAAUAAGGACCGGCUAACUCCGUGCCAGCAGCCGCGGUAAUACGGAGGGUCCAAGCGUUAUCCGGAUUUAUUGGGUUUAAAGGGUCCGCAGGCGGAAAAAUAAGUCAGUGGUGAAAUCCUAUCGCUUAACGAUAGAACUGCCAUUGAUACUGUUUUCUUGAGUAUACUUGAAGUGGGCGGAAUGUGUCAUGUAGCGGUGAAAUGCAUAGAUAUGACACAGAACACCGAUUGCGAAGGCAGCUCACUAAAUUAUAACUGACGCUCAUGGACG